Saccostrea cuccullata (small rock oyster) is the source of this 929-nucleotide long non-coding RNA. RefSeq lists it as uncharacterized. The transcript is spliced from 5 exons. The record is from RefSeq and is a predicted model, not a curated record. Lineage: Eukaryota; Metazoa; Mollusca; Bivalvia; Ostreida; Ostreidae.
UUUAUUGUAGGCAAGCUUUGUAGUCUUAGGACUUAAAGAUGGAACAGAUUUAAACACACCAGAAGUGAUUUCUUUGAGUGUGGGUCUCCCUUUUUCAGUCUGUUGGAACAUUUUUGCCUAUAUCAUUCUGAGAAAAGAAUGGAAAAAAGCAGCCCGCAUUUUUGUUUUCAUUGAUCUGGUUAAGCCUUGCUUUUACGGUUACCAAAUUUGGAAGGAAGCAACAAGGAUAAAGGAUGCACAAACCAGUGACGAUAGAGCAAUCAUAAUUAUAACAAUGGUUGCAGGUGUACUAGGGAUAGUUAUUUGGAUGUUGGUCAUGAAGCAACUGAGAACAGUAUACAAAAAUUUUGAUAAAGGAUUUCGAGAAAAAGUCUAUGAGAAGACAUCCAGCGAAAACACUAGUCUUAUCACAGGUAGAAGGAAAGGCCAGGGCGGAUCCCUGUAGUCCAUGAUCUAAAUGCCUCCAGGAAUAAAAUUGAAUUUUUGAGGAGAGUUUCUCACUACUUAUGGAAGUAAAAAGUUAAUUUUUUAUAAUAUAAAAACGUCUAAGUUGUUUUAUUUAUUAUGACUGUGGGCAGAUUUAAAUAUAUUAAUAAAGUUUUACAUUUUAAGUACAUGAUUCUUGAUAGUUUAACGAUGUCAUUGAUAACAAAAGUUAAGCAGGUUUGCUUGCGCAGGUGGGUUGUCUUGGUGAACAAAUUUUCUGGCUUAAUUAUUGGCUAAGACUUUUCAUUGGCUAUAAUCAUAAUGAACUAUCAAAUCAGAUCAUUUCUUUUGUAGUAAAAGCAAGCCAAAUCUAAAAUCAUAUUAUUGCUGAUCCGGCGAUUCCUGAUUUUAGACUACCACCUCGUACAAUUAUAUGUUAAUAAUUUUAGUUUUUCUAAGUAAAUAAGGGUCUAAGAAUAUAAGUAGUAGAGUUUAAUAUGUAU